CAGCAGGCCUGCUUGGAGGAGGGAUCUCUGCCUGCCCCUCGCUCUUCCUGAACCUGGGAGGGAGGGCUGUUUGCUGAACCCAGACCCACCAGAAAACGUCCUUCUUGUUGAGGAAGAGCACAAUGGACGUGGUGGCGAAGUAGCGGUGGUUGCAGAUGCUGUUGAACAGCACUGUCUCCAGCUUUCCCUGGAAACACUCAGGCCCUGCUUGGCACCCACCACUUCGUCGUCCUCCACCAGCACCAUGUCGUAGGCGCUCAGUGCCGCGAUGAAGAUGAUGCAGGUCACACCCUCGAAGCAAUGGAUCCACUUCUUGCGCUCUGAGCGCUGCCCGCCCACGUCGAACAUCCUGGGGAGCAGUUGGGGCCUGAACCCGCGCUUGGAACGCCAUGGACGCGCCCACAGGCAUCCGCUUGCCCCCUAAUGCUGGCCGGGGGGCACUCGGAUGGGACUGGAGUGUGGGGUGUCUGAGGAGGGGCAGGGUCUCUUUGGGACAGGGCCUCUAACAGGGUCUGGGGGCGCUGCACUUGCAGCCACAGCCCCUGAGGGAGGGCCAGGGCGCCGGUGUGGGGUUGUACCGGAAGUGGAGGUCCUUGAAGGAGAACUGCGUCUCGAUGAUGCCUGUGGUCUUGACACGGGAGCGCAGCACGUCCUGCUCAGUGGGCACGUAGCCCGGGGUGACCAGGCGCUCCAGGUCCGAGAGGUAGCUGCCGGAGACCGCGGGGUGUGGGUGGGUGUGGUGGAGGGGCAUGGUAGGACCCCGCCUGCACCCCCGCGCCCCGCCUGCGCUCUCACUAGCCCGCCGAGUCGUUGAGCUGGUACUCAGAGGCGCGUUCGAAGCAGGCCUGGAUACCCGAGUCCUUCCACAGCCGCUGGAUGAUGUCCGACAUCUCCUUGGGCAUCGUGCCCUCUUCGAUGGUGUCCGCCAUGUGCAUCAGCUUCCGGGCGUCGUCCUGAGGGUGGGGUGGGAGUUGGUGGUGGUGACCGUGGACUUGAGCCCAGUCUCGUGCCUCGAGUCCCCAGAGGCCCCGCUCAGCCAGUCUCCUUGCACACCUGGCGGGCAGAGUCUCCAUACUGGAUGUUGAGUGUGGUCAUGGCGCGCACGAUGGCGAGGAUGGACUGCAGCGUGUUGCCGUAGAUGAUGGCGAUGAACUCGAGGCACUCUUCUAACGAGUACCCAUCCUGGUGGAUGAUCCUGUGGCCAGGGUGAGCCGGGUCAAGGCCCAGUGGACAGGUGGGGAAGGACAGGCCCCGUGGGUGUGCCCACCCUCAGGGACCUCAGAAUAGGCAAGGACACUCACUUCAUCUGCUUGACAAUGGUGCUCUUCCCGGACUCACCCGCGCCUGGAAGGGAAGCUCCGCCUCAGAGCUGCGCUUGCCACACCUCCCUACAACCCUCCCCCCCACACACCCCCUACCCCUCGCGCCCCGCCCCCCCGCAACCGGGCUUGGAAGAUGGGGACCGGCAGACUCAAGGCAGGUACCAGUCCAAACCCCAGUUCCACCUGUUUGCCCCACCCCCCACCCCAAAGCAAGGUCCCGACACCCUGGAGGAAACACAUUUGUAAAUGCCAGGAGUGAGGAGGGGCUGACAAGGGCAAUCAACGACCUCAGCUGUGUUGGGGAGCCUCCAAGACCCCUGGCAUUUCCAUUCUUGGUUGUUCUGAAACCAAAAUAAGGAGAACCUGGAGCGCCACACCGUGGAAUAUUCUGGUACUGCAUGCAGAGGAUUAUUUGAACCGGGUCAACCCCCGCUUUUCAGGGGUUGUAGGGAAGGGAGUGUCUCCUAGAGGCUCAGAGGGAAUUAGGGCCUUUGAGUGGGGGAGAAGACAGAGCUGACAGCCCCUCUGAGCCUGCUCUCGCCAGGGCUUUGGGUACAGUUAAUGGGAUUUCUGGCUUAGUCUCUGUCUCCCUGGGGUGCUCUGGCUUGGUCUCUCUGCCCACAUCCAGAUGCCUGACUGGGUCCUGGAGAGCCUGGGGUGGGACCUGCACUGCCUCUCAAAGCUGCUCCUUCUUCCCCUUGUGGAAGGUAGUGACCUGGAGGCACUGCCUCAGUCCCACCUCUCCUCACCUCCCAUGGGACCAAGUGCUUGGCUUUAUCUAUUCUCCCAGGGUCUUAGUAGCUCUAAAGAGGGACACCCUCUUUAGGUUUGCCCACAACAAAGCUCUGGAAUCUAAGGGCCGUUGUUUGUGGAUCUGGAUGGUGCUAAAGGAUGCCCACGCCCAGGAGGACUGUUACCUCCUUUUUCCAAGGAAGCAGCCCUAUUGUAGGGCUCCCAAGGAAGCCCCUUGUUCCUGACCCCUGCCCACCAGGGCUUCUCCAGAGGGGAGGGUGCCUAAGUCAGGGCCCCCUGGAGAGGGGUUCCACCGGAUACCCAGCUUUGGGGAGUCAGAGUACUGCCCACCAGGGCCAGGGCUCCCACUCAGUUCCCUGACCUUAGUUAGGAUCAUUCUGCUUCCCAAGUAACCCAUUUCACAGAAGAGCUACCUGCCUGCCCCCCACCCCUGCCUGCGACCUGGUGGCAGCCCCCCCACCUGGACCCACACCCAUACCCAGAAGCAGCAGUUUCACGGUUCGAGCAUCCUUCUCAGCAUCUUCUUUGAGCUUCUUUUCCAGCUCCCUUGAGUGCUUCUCCUCAGCACUAGCCCCAGCCCCCAUGGUCCUAGCAGCAGGUGAACAGGGUCGUUGGCUGGUUCUUCUAGAUGGAGGGGAUCCCCAGAGCCGGGCGAGCCGGGCUCAGGUCUCCCAACACCCUUCUGACCCCAGGACUGGCAAUCGACUGGCUUUCCACAGACCUGUGCAGGCCUGGUGGGGCCGCUUAGUGGGAUUUGGGGGCCAGGGGUUCCCAAGAGCCAAUGAGAGACAAGGACAGGUGAAGCCAGCUCAGCCCCCAGCCCUUCUAAUCAGGCUGGCGUGGCCCCAAUCCCUCAGCUGCUGACUCUGCACCCCUCUCAAUGAGCCCCAACCCUCUAGGAGAGACCAUGGAGACAGUCCAGCCCCUGUACCAGAGCAGGGAGACUGGUUCCACAGGGUCCAGACUUAGAAGGGGGAGAAUAGGACCCUGAACCCCUGGUGGGGGCAGGGAGGCGGGGCUGGGAGCAGGGAAGAGAGGGAGAAGCAAGCAUGGAGCACCUGGGCCAGGCCCAGCACUGGACUCAACACAACUCUCUAUUUUCUUUUUUUUUAAUUUUUAAAAAAAAUUUAAUUUUUAAUUUUUUUAUAAACAUAUAAUAUAUUUUUAUCCCCAGGGGUACAGGUCCGUGAAUUGCCAGGUUUACACACUUCACAGCACUCACCAUAGCACAUGCCCUCCCCAAUGUCCAUAACCGCACACCCCCUCCCAACUCCUCUCCCCCAGCAACCCUCAGUUUGUUAUGGUGGGGCGCCUGGGUGGCUCAGUGGGUUGGGCCGCUGCCUUCGGCUCAGGUCAUCAUCUCGGGGUCCUGGGAUCGAGUCCUGCGUUGGGCUCUCUGCUCAGCAGGGAGCCUGCUUCUUUUCCUCUCUCUGCCUGCCUCUCUACCUACUUGUGAUCUCUAUCAAAUAAAUAAAUAAAAUCUU
This is a long non-coding RNA of Mustela lutreola (European mink), 3559 nucleotides long. RefSeq lists it as uncharacterized. Lineage: Eukaryota; Metazoa; Chordata; Mammalia; Carnivora; Mustelidae. The transcript is spliced from 3 exons. The record is from RefSeq and is a predicted model, not a curated record.